Molecule: ribosomal RNA, 468 nt
Filed under: uncultured bacterium
Lineage: Bacteria
Description: partial 16S ribosomal RNA
Rfam family: Bacterial small subunit ribosomal RNA
Source: RNAcentral
GACGAACGCUGGCGGCGUGCUUAACACAUGCAAGUCGAACGGAAAGGCCCUGCUUUUGUGGGGUGCUCGAGUGGCGAACGGGUGAGUAACACGUGAGUAACCUGCCCUUGACUGUGGGAUAACUUCAGGAAACUGGGGCUAAUACCGGAUAGGAGCUCCUGCUGCAUGGUGGGGGUGGGAUAGUUUCGGCGGUUGGGGAUGGACUCGCCGCUUAUCAGCUUGUUGGUUGGGUAGUGGCUUACCAAGGCUUGGACGGGUAGCCGGCCUGAGAGGGUGACCGGCCCAGCUGGAACUGGGCUACGGCCCAGACUCCUCCGGGACGCAGCAGUGGGGAAUGUUGCACAAUGGGCGGAAGCCUAAUGCAGCAAAGCAGCGUGCGGGAUGAGGUCAUUCGGUUCGUAAUCUGAUUUCGCCUGUGACGAAGCGUGAGUGACGGUAAUGGGUAAAGAAGCACCGGCUAACUCCGUG